CAUGCCCCAAGUACACCCAUGCUGCUCUGCACUGCUCUCUAUGGGCCGAGCAAUGAGAGGGAAACAACACGCCAAGGCACAGCGGUGGCUCGAACUAACGGUUGAAGGGGCGUGGUUCAGCAUAUUCCGCCCCAUUCGUCAAUCUGACGUCAUCAGAGAAUCCAGAGUGGAAGCAGUCAGAUUUUUGUUACUUAUCAAAUUUUCAGAUAUUGAAAAAGAAUGUUCAUUUUGUAAAAACAGUGAGGAAUCCUUGUCACUUAUUUGUAGAUUUUGGGAGUGUGCAAUUAUUUUGGAAAUGAUUAUUCUGUUAAAAUAAUAUGUUGAUAACAUUAAAUGCAAGAAAAAUUAUUUGUUAUUUUGAAAAUGGUGAAAAACAAAUUUACAAUUUUGUUAAUUUUAUUAUUUUGAAUGGUUAAUUCUUCAUCCACAAAUGUAGACUUUCAAAAUCUCCUCCUUUAUUAUAAGGUAUUUAUCAACGAAGUUAUUCUGUUAAUGAAGUCUCAAAGGUGUAAAAAUUGUAAAAGCUCUGUCUGUUGUAAGCUAUUAUGAAUCUGUUUUUGGCGUCUUGUGAAUGUCUUCCUUUUUUUAAUUUCAAUUAUCUUUGGAAUUUUUGUUUGUUGCCUGUUUUUGCUCGAUUUGUAAAUUACUAAAACAUAAUUAAAAAAAUAAAUAAAUAAAAGAUAA
Molecule: non-coding RNA, 684 nt
Organism: Danio rerio (zebrafish)
Lineage: Eukaryota; Metazoa; Chordata; Actinopteri; Cypriniformes; Danionidae
Source: RefSeq, a predicted model, not a curated record